UUACGGCCAUAUAACUUUGAAUCACCGAUUUUCGUCCGAUCACCGAAGUUAAGCAACAUUGAGCUUGGCCAGUAACUAGAUGGGUGACCGCUUGAAAA
Molecule: non-coding RNA, 98 nt
Organism: Acanthosepion pharaonis
Lineage: Eukaryota; Metazoa; Mollusca; Cephalopoda; Sepiida; Sepiidae
Source: the annotation of a GenBank genome assembly